Molecule: ribosomal RNA, 200 nt
Filed under: uncultured bacterium
Lineage: Bacteria
Description: partial 16S ribosomal RNA
Rfam family: Bacterial small subunit ribosomal RNA
Source: RNAcentral
AACGAACGCUGGCGGCAGGCUUAACACAUGCAAGUCGAACGCUCCGCAAGGGGAGUGGCAGACGGGUGAGUAACGCGUGGGAAUCUACCCAGAUCUUCGGAACAACUGAGGGAAACUUCAGCUAAUACCGGAUACGCCCUACGGGGGAAAGAUUUAUCGGUUCUGGAUGAGCCCGCGUAAGAUUAGCUAGUUGGUGGGGU